UACGGGGGGGGCAAGCGUUGUUCGGAAUUGCUGGGCGUAAAGGGCGCGUAGGCGGCCUACUAAGUCGGACGUGAAAUCCCUCGGCUCAACCGAGGAACUGCGUCCGAUACUGGCAGGCUGGAAUCCGGGAGAGGGAUGUGGAAUUCCAGGUGUAGCGGUGAAAUGCGUAGAUAUCUGGAGGAACACCGGUGGCGAAGGCGGCAUCCUGGACCGGUAUUGACGCUGAGGCGCGAAAGCUAGGGGAGCAAACGGG
This 253-nucleotide ribosomal RNA is filed under the name uncultured bacterium. RNAcentral describes it as "partial 16S ribosomal RNA". It matches the Rfam family "Bacterial small subunit ribosomal RNA", at positions 524 to 776 of the family's 1533-position model. The record is from RNAcentral.